CCGAGUAGUUCUUCACCAGUCUUUUCCAUGUCAAGAUCAGCACUGAGUAUGAAAGUAUUGAUUUUCAAAAUGCAUAUCAAAUUUACACAUUUGCCACUAGCCAGUUUAUCACCACCUGCUAUCUUGUAUUCAAUUCUGUUACACAAGAGUGUAAAUUAAUGCGGAGUGCAAUCCUCGUAAUUAUUAUAGUUGGGGAGCAAAUGGGGCUGUGCAUAUGCAAGUAUCUAAUUAGCCACGUAAUGGUCGCAUACACGUGAAAAUACCCUGUUCAACUAUGAAAUCGUACCGACUGCUUCAGCUUAUACAACGGUGUGUAUAGUUGCCUUCCUUGCAUAAGGAGAAUUAGGCCUUCUGUUUUUAAUAAUACUGCACCAUUCUGUUCAAUUCUGAGCCCUUAAUCUUGCAUCACAGUAGAACACUCCGGUAGCAACAAAUAAUUGUGUGUUUUUCACACUUUCCAUUUUGUAAAAUGCUACUUCCUGACCUCUGUGAAAUGCAUACAGUGGGCUACUUUGAUGUAUAAUUAGAUUAAUCUUAACUAAAAAGUAUCCUGGUGUAGCUGUGACAGUAAAAAGAAUAAGAUUUUACCUACUCAGGAAUUUUAAUUUUCAGUUGUCUUUUCUCAUGAGAGCUCUGUUGUCUUAGUAUGUCACACAUAGUUUCACCACUUCUGUUUGUUUUAGACUGAGACAACUUGGCCUUAUUAGCUUCUUCUAUCCCCUUCAGUUUUGGUGGGGUCUCAAGUGCCUCCUUAGUUCUAUUGCAAAAGGAAGUCCUCAUAAACCACAUAAAGCCCUAAAAAAGCUGAGGGCAAAAUUGAAUGGAUCUUUGCUCUCAUUGGCUGCAUCUUCCCCUCAUGCAGUGCUGCCACGGGUGUCUAAAGCUCUGCAAAGGGAAAGAGAAUUGCAGGCUGCUGGCUCUCCAUGUCAGAGAGCAUGCAUUCACUCCCAGUACCUUUUCUGGAUCUGCCAAAUGUAUUGCUGGGAUUUCUAGGAUACAACAUCAUCAUUUCAGCACUUCUGUAAUUUACAGACAAAGAACUACGAAAUAGGAACAUAGCUAGGAGGAUUGGGCAUAGUAUGAAGUCAUGCUGUCUAAGGCUGGCCAGAUACUUGCCUUUCCACUCAACUUGUAGAGGCAAAUUUGCUCAUUUCUGAACGUUCUCUACUUCUUUUAGAUGAGCAUCAGCAAGACUGAUAAAAAAAUAGUUGGUGUGUUUUUACUUGGAACUUCUCUCCAAAAAAUGAGAAUUUACUUUGCUUAUAUAGAGUAAUUAAGAAUACUCAUACUCAAUAAUUAAUUUGGGGGUUAAUUUUACCUCUCCCCCCUCUCCCAAUGCAGGCAUCUGCAUACUUCUGUACAUGCACAUAUGCAUACUCCAUUAAAAUUACAUCAGCAUAAGUAUGAAUAUCAUGAACCAAAAGUUUGGCAUCCCUACUAUAGUGACAGCUGACUGCCACCUAUGGGCAGGAGUUCAUGUUAACAUAUUUAGCUAGAAUUUUAAUAUUAUUCUUUGCAAUUAAUUCAAUUUGUAAUUGUUCUAGUAGGACAGAGCUUCAAUUCAUUUGCUAUAUAUUUGUCCACGGCAAUCACUUCUCCCUCUGAAAACUGAAUAUUAAAACCAGCUUCUUUAUGAAGGGGAAUCAGCUUUGCGACGAUUAAAAAAAAUGGGGUAGGACGUUCUUAUUUCUGUUAUCUGAAUAAGGAAUAAAUAGAAGCACCCUACUUCUCCAAGCAAAGAAAAAUGACUCAGUGGUACACAGACAGGCACAUCAACAAGAUAAUGCUGUAUUUAAUGAUUACUGUAAUUUUAAAGUUUAGCCAUCUCAAGGUUGUAAUAUUUUGUUGACGGCCUUCUUUUACUAAAUACAUACAAAUAGGCUGGUUAUGCAGUCCCGUGAAAAUGUGUAUAUAAUUAGUAUGUCAUAGUAAUUCUCUAUUCAAAAAUUUUCAUUUUUCCGAGGAAAAUGAUGGCUAAAGUGGGGGAAGAGAAAGAAGAGCAGAAAAAUGUAUGGCUUGAUUAUGUAAGCCUUGAUUUUUCUGAUAAUCAGUGCUCAUUUACGAAAGAAAAAAAGCAAGUGCAGACUGAAAUGUCAAAUUCAUUGUAUUAAAAAUCGUGUUUCUAAUUCAGCUUCCAGGUACUUAAAAGCAAAUAGGCUGACAAUUCUGUCUAUUUGAUUACAAAUAACAAAAAUGCUCGACUACAGCUACUACAUCGUAGUAUGCUGCAGUAUAUCGUGCAGCCCUCAUCAUUUCUCAGAAAUAACAUACGUAAACAUAGCUGGAACAGUUUAGCGAAUUAAUACAUACAUUUUCGUUUGGGAAAAAAGAUCAUUUUACUUCAGUCAGCAGAAGGUAUUUGUAACCAUAACAUGCUUCCCUUUUUGGGGAAGGAGCGCAGAAUUUUUGAGGGAACAGAGACAGAAAUGAACUUUAAAAGGGGAAAAUAUGUUAAAAGAGACAGAAACUUACAGGAACUAAGAAUGAGUUUGAUAUGAUGAAUUUUUCAAGAUCCCCCUUUUAAAGUAAUUUUAUUUCUGGGCCUCCUCAUUUGUGUUCCACUCUGUUAAAUAUUUUUUUUGAGAUAGUCUGGUAAUUGUAAGUAUUACAUUUGUGCUCAUCUCAUGCGUUUUCACUAAGUUUUAUUUCUAAAGUUACGUCGUAAACUUGGGAAAUACUGUACAAGCAGCAUACACCAUUUUGGUAUCAGACGUUAUCACGUCGGCAUUUCAUGCUUACCCUCCAACAGCAUAAGCACCCUUUAUCAUCUAUGGAAUUCUGACAUUUAUGGUAAAAUAUUUGUACUCAGUACACAAAGGGAUUUUGAAACUUAAGUAACUGUGUUACACAGCAAUUUAAUUCCAAUACAUUUUGCUUCUUACUACUGAAUUAAGAUUGCAAAAACAGUCUGACUUUCUUGUGUCCGACCGGUAACAUUCCCUUGCAUUUUCAAACCACGGUUUAAACCGAACCCACUCAGACUCUUUGGAUAGAAACUUCAUAUCAGACAAAAAUUACUCUUUAGCACGUUUGAUGAAUCCAGCUUAAAACCAAACACAGAACUGCAUGAACAUCUGCGACAAACGACUCGCCUCGGCCAUUCUCUUCUUUCUUAUUUAAUCUCCCACUGGAGUACAGUUUAGUUGGUUUGCUAUUUUAUAGUGCAGAUCUCUCCCUCACCAACCUACUGCUUGCAAAAAAGAACUUUAAAAAUUUCCAUGUGUGAGAACAAAACCUGAGCAGAAUAGGGCUGCACCUUUUAAAAUGGGUACUAGCAGGGGAAGGGAAAGCAACGAACAAGCUAGCACUCCAAAUUUCCAGGAGUAACAAAAAGGGGGAAAAAAAUAUAGGAAAAAUGAAACUGAGGACUGUUAAACUAAUAGAUCAGUUACUAGAAUAUGAAACAGAACCGUCCUUUCCUGGUGAUGCUUCACUGACUUGCUGCUUGCAUACCCACACGAGUAUAAACUGAGAGCAAAAUUUUUCUUAAUGUAGGCAGUAUUACGAAUGUUGAGAUAUUCCUGUUUCAGUAUCUUUAAAUCUGAGGCCUUGUUAAAGAAGACGCUACUUGGAAAGAUCUCUGAGAUACCGGCAAACCCUGCUUGGUUUCUCCUGAUUUUCUUCCACAAAUGAUCUGUUUGAUAGACGGGGGAAAAAUAAAAGAGCAAAUAGCAGGCAAAGCACCUUUAAAGUGCUUGUUGUUACUUUUGUGCCUUUUACAAAAAGACGAGGAAAAUUCCACUUCCCAAGUAAAGAAAUACAGAGCAGUGUAACAUCAUAGCUUUAGAAACUAUUCUUUCUGUUUUUCACACAUCACCUCAAUUUCACCCGAAUGCUGCUUAUACUGCGUAACACAGAUUUUACUUUACAUAAUAUCGCUUAGUGCCUAUAUGGAUUAUUUGUUACCUAAUAACUGUUAGAUUGGUCGUGAAUUUUUACUGUGCUAGGUGUUUUUCAGAACAUAGUUACAUGUCUGCAUUUUUUUGGACAAACUUUCAAAAUAUUACUGUAUUCUGGUCUAUUUCACCAUGAUUUAACACUGCAGGAGUGCAUCCAGAUAUUCAUAACACAAUACGCUUGUAGGCACAACUAAACAAAAAGCAGAUUAGCUUGUGAUGUAGUGGAAUGAGUGGGACUUUCUUCUAAUGGAGAAAAACCUGUUUGCUCAUAAUAAUUCCAUUUAUAGCUGAGAAAGGGAGCAAAGCACCUGGAACUGAGUCAGUGUGAAUUCCAGCAAUGCAAUGAGCUUCACAAAAGCUGUGGUUACCUUGUUUUUUAACUAACCACACUGAGCUGACAGCUAUUAACAGUAGCAAGGACUUGCAUAACGAGGACUUGAAGGAAAGCUUAGCACUAUCCAUGCCAGAGCGAUUUAAAGAGAAUGAAGGCACGUAUUUCUUUAUGAUGCAUUAUGUAACAACAUAGAGGGCAAUCUGAGACAUUUAAAAAGAUACGGGGACCCACAUAUAAUUUUACACUUGUUAUUUUAGAGUGCUUAUAACCCAAUGCUUAUGAAACACCUAACUUAGGAAUGUGAUCCUGUAAAAUGAGUUUAAAAUGUUUUUGAAGACGUGUUUUACGUUUUGUACGUGCUUAGAAAAGCAUAGUAGGUCCUACAAUUCAUUUUCUUCAAAAUUCUGCAAUGUAUGCAAUCUCAGAUAAAAUUGUCAAAAUCUAGGAUAGCUGGACCUUCUGGUUCACAUUAGUGUGAAGAGAAAACUGCUGUUGAGCUGACACGUUGAUAGAUUAUGAGUUCUGCUGAAGAAUAGCUAAAAAUGGUGAUUCAAUCUUGUCGCUACUAUAUAAAAAAAAUAACAGAAGUGGAGAUGUUACUCAUGAUAUCGUGUCUUUCAUCAAAACCCUAAAGGGUUCUGGUGCAUUGAACACGUUUUCCUUCUGAGAGCUUUUGGCUGUAUAAAAUAUCGGUGUAAGUAAAUGAAACUAAAUUGGCCUAUUUAAAAAACAAAUAGGAUGAGCUUUUGUGCCCUAAGUUUAUUUAAACAAGAAAAUAAAGAUUGGAAUAUAAAAAGACUGCCUUUUAAGGUGGUAGGUUCUUUUCCUUUUCAGUUUUUACAAUAGAGAUUCUGGUCUUGUAACGAUGAAAUGGAGAGCUGCAGGAUUAUGAAACAACUAAACACGAAGGGCAAAUCUGACUGGAAGAGACAGAGAUAUUAUUGCAAUUAUCUGAAACUUAGCUGGGUUAGUUCCUUCACUAACCUAAAUCAAUGCAGUUCCUCUGAAAUCAAUAGGGUGAUACAGAUUCAUCCAAAACAUACCUGGCAUGUAAGAUAAUGCGUCACCUUCUGUUAGGACACGUAAACAUAAACACAUGUGGAGAGGACUCUUUUCUAUAUAUCUCCUUAACCUUUAAAUACUCGAAACCGUACUUUUAGGAGAGGCAUUUAUGUACUUCUGCUAUUUUACUCCUAUAUCUCUGUUGGUAUGAAUCUCGUGUGGUCAUUUACACUAAAAUAAAGUCAGGUCCAAACGCUGACUUCAGUCCUCAGUGCUCCGUACUUAUCUGUGCUGCUGCAAAUCACCAGGAAGGGCUCAAGAUGGCAGGGAGCCGGGGCCUUGCUGGCUGCUGUCUUCCUCCCGUGAAAAUCACCGAGCGCUCCCACUGCUCAUUUCUGAAUCACCCAAGGCGUCCUGCAACAACAGAAGGGAACCAAGACUUCACAAUCCUCAUCCUCACCGAUGGGAGAGCAGGGCCUCUCCAGUGUAUUCACAGCUUUUCCUACAAUAAUGCUUCUGGUCGCAGAGAAAUUUUUAUCUCUGAAAAACAUCUCCCCACAGAACCGUGACGUAAGCCCUGCUCUCGGUUUGGGGAUGGAGGGGGAGACGAGCAGUGAGGCACAAAGUUCAGCAUCUCCUCCUGCGGCACAGCACAGCCAGAAUCCAUGAUGAAAUCCCCAACUGCCUCAGCCCCGCUCUGCUCGCUGCCUUACGAGGUGCACACUGAGAAAUCUGGGACGUUUAGGCAGUGUGUGAAGACACCGUGGCCAGAGAUUUGCCUGGUUUUGUUCCUGAAGGACUGCUAUGAGUGGGAGGUCUCAAGUGACCAUGGUGGUUUAAAGAAAGAUCUUGUCACGUGACUCUGAAGUAGAGCAAGGGUUGCAGCAGACUUCAACUUUCAGUCCUACAUUGCUUGUUCAAGAAAGGUCUAGAGAAGAAAGUCCUAAAUAGCAUGGUGAAUUAAAAAAAAAAAAAAAAAAAAGAUAAUUGCAGGAGUAUCAUCACAGAAUGGCCUGGGUUGAAAAGGACCACAAAGAUCAUCCAGUUUCAACCCCCUGCUAUGUGCAGGGUCGCCAACCACCAGACCAGGCUGCCCAGAGCCACAUCCAGCCUGGCCUUGAAUGUCUCCAGGAAUGGGGCAUCCACAACCUCCUUGGGCAACCUGUUCCAGUGUGUCACCGCUCUUUGUGUGGAAAAACUUCUUCCUAAUAUCCAACCUAAACCUCCCCUGUCUCAGUUUAAAACCAUUCCCCCUUAUCCUAUCACUGUCCACCCUUGUAAACAGCCGCUCCCCUUCCUGUUUUUACUCUCCCUUCAAGUACUGGAAGGCCACAGUGAGGUCUCCCCAGAGCCUUCUCUUCUCCAAACUAAACAAGCCCAGUUCCCUUAACAUUUCCUCAUAGGAGAGGUGCUCCAGCCCUCUGAUCAUCUUAGUGGCCCUCCUCUGGGCCCGCUCCAAGAGUAGUAAGUCAAUAGCUGAAAAGUGAUGUGAAAAAGAAGGCAGCUAGAAGAAAUAAAGGAUUUCUUAAAACCACUCCCACCCAGCAAUGCUGUUUCUUGUAUCUUUAGUUUCAUCUGCUUCUCGAAGUCUAUCUUGCCAAAUAUGCCUACCUUUCAAAAUUACUCCAGCUUCGGAAUGAAAGUGUCAGCAGUUGCAAGACUCUUGAGGAGAUGAUGACAGAUGAUGCCUCAAAGAUAAGUAACAUUCUACUAUAUGACCUCUGCCUACAAAAAGCACAGCUUCCCUGGAGAAGACGAUCCCUAUGCCUGAGACAACACUGCUUGUGAAUUCCUAUGCUGAGUGAAUUUCAAAGUUCUAGUUUCCCUACUUUGGGCAGCCACAUCACUCUUCUGUUUUCCUGCAGGAAACAUUGGACUGAGAUUCAUAGCCUUGUUCAUGCUUCCCCAUAUCUUACGUUUUUCCACUUAGAGAGUUUGGUGUCAGCAAAAUCAAAGAAAAUCUCUGAAUAAUUGGCAUUGAUAUAUUCUAUUUUUUUUUUUGUCACUAUGCUAUUUGCAAAAUGAUUGUCAAUGCAGUACAUGAUCUUUUGUCAAAA
This is a long non-coding RNA of Gallus gallus (chicken), 7292 nucleotides long. The record is from Ensembl. NCBI's taxonomy places the organism in Eukaryota, Metazoa, Chordata, Aves, Galliformes, Phasianidae.